This 704-nucleotide ribosomal RNA is filed under the name uncultured bacterium. RNAcentral's name for it is "bacterial SSU rRNA". It matches the Rfam family "Bacterial small subunit ribosomal RNA", at positions 60 to 780 of the family's 1533-position model. The record is from RNAcentral.
AGUCUACUACCUUGUGACCUCGGUCACGUUAUGGUGGUGGCAGACGGCUUAGUAACACGUAAGUAAUCUACCCUCAAGUGGGGGAUAAUCCGAAGAAAUUCGGCCUAAUACCCCAUAAUGUUUUAAUAUAUAUGUAUUGAAAAGAAAGAUUUAUCGCCUUUGGAGGAGCUUGCGGCCUAUCAGGUAGUUGGUAAGGGUAAUGGCCUACCAAGCCCAAGACGGGUAACCGAAGUGAGAGCUUGAACGGUAAGAGGGGGACUGAGACACGGCCCCCACUCCUACGGGAGGCAGCAGCAGGGAAUCUUGCGCAAUGGACUGUAUGGUCUGACGCAGCGACACCGCGUGGAGGAUGAAUGCUUUUGGGUUGUAAACUCCUCUUCUUAGGGAAGAUGAUGACGGUACCUAAGGAAUAAGCAUCGGCUAACUACGUGCCAGCAGCCGCGGUAAUACGUAGGAUGCGAGCGUUGUCCGGAAUUAUUGGGCGUAAAGGGCGUCUAGGUGGAAUAAUAAGUCCUGUGUGAAAUCUCUUGGCUCAACCAAGAAAUGUCACAGGAAACUAUUAAUCUAGAGGUCAUCAGAGGUAAGUGGAAUUCACGGAGUAGUGGUGAAAUGCGUAGAUACCGUGAGGAACACCAGAGGCGAAAGCGGCUUACUAGGAUGAACCUGACACUAAAGCGCGAAAGCGUGGGUAGCAAACCGGAUUA